RNAcentral lists this long non-coding RNA (376 nucleotides) under Manihot esculenta (cassava). RNAcentral's name for it is "long non-coding RNA (MESC_LNC012149)". Lineage: Eukaryota; Viridiplantae; Streptophyta; Magnoliopsida; Malpighiales; Euphorbiaceae. The record is from RNAcentral.
GUUCAAUCUCGAACUUUAUCUCCCUAGCAGGUGGUAGUCCUGGAAGCUCUUCUGGAAAGACAUCCAGAAAUUCUCUGACAACUGGCACUGAGGCUGGCUCCCUGACCUGACUAUCUAGCUCUCUCACGUGAGCUACAUACCCCUGACAUCCCUUCCUAAGCAGCCUACGAGCCUGUAGGGCCGAUAUCAGACCUCUAGGCGUACCCCUCUUGUCUCCUCUGAAGACGACCUCUGACCCGUUUUGAUCUCUGAACCUGACUACCUUGUCCCUGCAGUCCAAGGUAGCACCAUGGGUAGAUAGCCAAUCCAUCCCUAGAAUGACGUCAAAAUCUGUCAAGUCUAGAACCACAAGGUCGGCGGAGAGGCAUCUUCCCUC